Molecule: ribosomal RNA, 253 nt
Filed under: uncultured bacterium
Lineage: Bacteria
Description: partial 16S ribosomal RNA
Rfam family: Bacterial small subunit ribosomal RNA
Source: RNAcentral
UACGUAGGCAGCGAGCGUUGUUCGGAAUUAUUGGGCGUAAAGAGCUCGUAGGUGGUUUGUCGCGUUGUUCGUGAAAACCGGGGGCUUAACCCUCGGCGUGCGGGCGAUACGGGCAGACUGGAGUACUGCAGGGGAGACUGGAAUUCCUGGUGUAGCGGUGGAAUGCGCAGAUAUCAGGAAGAACACCCGUGGCGAAGGCGGCUCUCUGGGACGGUACUGACGCUGAGGAGCGAAAGCGUGGGGAGCGAACAGG